GUGAGGUUUACAGGCCAACAAAUGAGCACCUGAGAGCCCCCACAGCAUAAUGAUGUGCCCAAGGGACUGUGUGGUGGUGCUGAGUGUUUUCCCUUUUCUUUUUUCUUUUAAGCCCUAGGGAAAAUAAGCUUUGCACUUGUACCUCUCAACUUCCAGGAGCAUCCCUGGCCUGAGGUUUAUUCCUGCUGCUGAUCCACAGCAGCUUUUUAAACUCGAGUUUAGAGGAUAAGAGGAAGAGAAUCAGAUGAAUGAAAGCAAAGAUGCUGUUGCUUUGCCCGGUGGGUCUUCUCCCAUCACUUCUUGGCUGCAUGAGGCACUGGAGGAAGCUGAGGGUGCGUGGUGUGACAGGUCGUCUGUCUGUCUGCUGUGGUGAGGAUGUCUUGUAACCAGGUUUUGGGCUGUGGGAGCCCUCUGCUGAGCCUGUUCCAUCUGAAAGCAGCAGCUCUGAGUGCUUCUGCAUCAGGGCCACCGAUUGCUUUCCCACCUCCCUUUUCACCACCACAGUCUUUGAUUUUCCAGCUGGGUCUCCUGAUUUUCUGAAAAGACACCACCUCCUUCUCCUUUGCUUAUGAGGUUCCAAAAUUUCCCAAGGAUGAGACAAUCACAUCAACAUCCCUGCUCUGGUCCAGCAGUAGAGACAAGGUAAGUGAAACUUCUCCCUUCGCUGCUGAUUCCUCAGCCUUUGGUCAGCACAAAACAGUCCAG
This 705-nucleotide long non-coding RNA is filed under the name Phasianus colchicus (ring-necked pheasant). RNAcentral describes it as "lncRNA (ENSPCLG00000019413.1)". The record is from RNAcentral. Lineage: Eukaryota; Metazoa; Chordata; Aves; Galliformes; Phasianidae.